This is a long non-coding RNA of Thalassophryne amazonica, 463 nucleotides long. RefSeq lists it as uncharacterized. The transcript is spliced from 4 exons. The record is from RefSeq and is a predicted model, not a curated record. Lineage: Eukaryota; Metazoa; Chordata; Actinopteri; Batrachoidiformes; Batrachoididae.
AACCUGCGAGCUUCAAGCCGGCUCCUCGCCGUCGGAACCAGCGAACAGUUUGCUUCCUGGUCAUAGGAACGCUGGGGAUCUUUGGUGUUGGUUGUCUGAUUGGGUAUUUGACUCAACCUAAGCCUAAACUGGCGCCUGUGCAAUGCGACAACAUACCCCAUGUGAGACAACGUCCAGCAGCGUGCCAGCUCCAGCAGCUGAGCUGGACUGGAAGGACCUCAUAGACAUGCUGUCGGAUAAACUCUCUGCUCAGCUCCUUCGACGAGACUCUGAAGGCCUUUGAACUUCCCCAGCGUUUAGCAGGCAGCGAGGAGGACAUGGAUGCCGCUAAUCAUAUCUUUGAACAAUUCAAACAGUUGGAGAUGGAGCCAUGGACUGAUGUCCACUACGUUCAGCUGCAGACACCAGACAGCAAUCAUCCAAACCGUGUUGUUUUUGGUUCAGACACCUUCCAGCCGGAAGG